GAUGAACGCUGACAGAAUGCCUAACACAUGCAAGUCAACCUGAACUUCGGUUUGGGUGGCGGCCGGGUGAGUAACGCGUAAAGAACUUGCCUCACAGCUAGGGACAACAUUUGGAAACGAAUGCUAAUACCUGAUAUUAUGAUUAUAUGGCAUCGUAUAAUUAUGAAAGCUAUAUGCGCUGUGAGAGAGCUUUGCGUCCCAUUAGCUAGUUGGAGAGGUAACAGCUCACCAAGGCGAUGAUGGGUAGCCGGCCUGGGAGGGUGAUCGGCCACAAGGGGACUGGGACACGGCCCUUACGCCUACGGGAGGCAGCAGUGGGGAAUAUUGGACAAUGGACCGAGAGUCUGAUCCAGCAAUUCUGUGUGCACGAUGAAGUUUUUCGGAAUGUAAAGUGCUUUCAGUUGGGAAGAAAAAAAUGACGGUACCAACAGAAGAAGUGACGGCUAAAUACGUG
Molecule: ribosomal RNA, 454 nt
Filed under: uncultured bacterium
Lineage: Bacteria
Description: partial 16S ribosomal RNA
Rfam family: Bacterial small subunit ribosomal RNA
Source: RNAcentral